Molecule: unclassified non-coding RNA, 3513 nt
Filed under: Haliotis rubra (blacklip abalone)
Lineage: Eukaryota; Metazoa; Mollusca; Gastropoda; Lepetellida; Haliotidae
Description: uncharacterized LOC124262332, transcript variant X1
Source: RNAcentral
GUCACUCAGAUCUUAUCUAUGUGAACAAGGACAAGCUCGAGGCUCAGCACAAAGGGGAACUUGAUGGAAAAGAGAGACAAAUUGCAGCACUCCACACUGAAAUAGAAAGACUUCAGCUACAAAUUAAGCAAAAAGACAAGGCCCACGCUGAGCUGAAGGGAACAAUUAAAAAGGAAAGAGCUGAACACAUAUCGCAGACUGAAAAGCACAAUGAUGAAGUUGAAGCUCUAAAAACAGAAUUAUCCAAGACCGAUGCGGAUUUACAACAGAGUAAAGAAGAAUGUGAGAAAGUGUACAAGAGACUACAAGAAAAACAGGAGGCAUACGAUGCUCUAGUGGGUGAUCCAAGGUCACACUCUCCAGACUGGGUGGACAAUACAGAGCAAGUCCAACAUGGAGAUUCUGAGGAGGGAAUGUGCCAAUUUUCAACUCAGUCCUGUUGUGAUGAGAGUCAGCUUCGUCUUCUUCCAUGCCUUCAUUCUGCAUGCAAGCCAUGCCUUGAUCACCAAGCUACACAGGCCGAAGAGAACUGCAUACACUGUCCUUCCUGUGGUCGUGAGUUCACCAUGGAGCAGACAACAGUAGAUCAUGUCAGACGCAAUGAAGCUGCCUAUAAAGUCAACGCUGAUGGUGAGAUGAAAUGCAGCUACAUCGAAGGGAAUCAUGAUGCUAAGGCUGUGGUGUACUGUCACGAGUGUGAUGAGAAGCUCUGCUCUGACUGCCAUAAACACCACGACACGCCGAAACGGAAUCGAAAUCACAGAGUAACUGAGAUCAACCAGGCCGAGAAUAUCCCUAUGAAUCAGUGGCUGAAGGACCGUAACUGCAGAGACCACCCUGACAACAAACUGCAGCUAUAUGACCACACGUGUAAGAAGGCAAUCUGUCUUAUAUGUAAACAUGGGGCCCACGAGAUGCACCAGAAUGAAGAUUUUUUAUCAGGCCUAUGACGCUGCAAAGGAUCAGCUGGAGGAACAAGUGCAGAAGCAACAACUUAAACUGAAAGAUGUCACUGGCAGAAUGGGAAGUGUCACCAGACACCAAAAUGAACUGGGUAAUACUCAGAGAAAGCUGCAAGAAGAUGCCGCUACAGUUUGCACUAGUGUUGCUGUAAGGUUCCUUCGUCGACAGAGACAACUGAUGAAGGAGAUUCUAAUGAGUCUACAGGCCCCUUUUGUAAUGGUUCAAGAGAAACUUGACACUUUACAUGGCGUCCAUACUUCAAUAGUAUCGGCGAUAGACUACACCCAGAGAACACUUGAAUCUACAAGACGAGAGGAGCUCAUUACUCUCACCGAUGUACUGCAGACGAAAUGUGAUGAAAAUCAGAAGCUGGAACUUCCAGAAGAUGACACACAAGACACGAGAAUCCUUCUUUCCUUUCAAGGCCAGAGAGCUCUGGAGGAACUUAUCGACACAUUUGGUGGUCUCGCCUCCAGUCUCAACAUGGAUCAUAUUCCAGAUUCUCAACCUACUUCACAAGAUCUGCUGGCGACGAUAAGGAGAGAACGAGAAACCAUCACGAUGCAUGAAGGGCGGUGGCAACAGCUUCAACAGAUGAUACAUCGCAUCCCAGAACUCAAAGGAUCAGACAGCAGAAUGGCGAGAUCACAGGAACCUGAACAGCUAACAUCACAAGAAGUGCAUGGCAUUGUCACAAAUCUCAUAACCGGAGCAUUCAUCCCCGGUGAGACAAUUCCACGUGGUAUUACGUUGCAAGGCUAUGCCACAUUGCACGUCAUAAGACAGGACCGCAGUGUUAAUUUCAUCAUCUGUCCUAAACUCCAACUGGACGCUGGUCGAGUCAACACACGCUACUGCCAUGUUACUACAGACGGUGAGCUGGUCAACUCGCGGCCAGCCACACAACACACGGACAGUGGCAGACUACAGAGAUUGUUCGGCACGUGUAGCUCCACCCCCAUCCCCCUUCCUCCAUCCCCCUCUAGUGUCACCCCUGUCCCCCACACAACACGAUACUGGGAGACCAACACCAGGGUGGGUGGAGUGUGGUGUCCUGUCCUGGAGAUGGGUGUGGGGGAGGAGCGCCAGGUAGACAGCGGGGUGUAUGUUUGUCACCAGCGCCGCUCCUGGUGUGUCCGUGUAGGGAUAUGUCGCACACACCGGGGGAGUGUCUGCACCAGGGUGUGUCUGGCGGGGAAGGAGGGGAAGUGUUACAGAAACACAAUGUCUGACUCACCCGGCACACAGGCCACCCUCCACUAUGGCGUUGUGUUGGAUGUCGGAAGGGGUAGAAUAGGAUUUAUUGACGUAGACAGGUCGGUUGUUUUAGGGAAAGUUGAUGUGGAGUUCAAGGAGGAUCUUCUCCCUGCGUUUUCUGUCUGUGCGGUCAGUGACUUCACAGUAAACAUGAAGGUGGUCAGUGGGGAGGAGAUCCUCAUGUCUGACAUCAAGAAAUCACUCAUUAAUGAAGCCCUGGCCUAAGAAAUAAACUACACAUGACCCAGUGUAAACUUGUAAAUAUCACACAUCUACUUUAACAGACAAAUUCAAUACAACAGAACUGAAAGAAGCGGACAUAGAAGUUACCUGUUUAUGUGUUGUAUUUUUCAUUUGUGUACUAGAAGCGUUUUACAUCCACACAAGAGUAUUGUUAUGAUUAUUAUUAUGUGAUAACUGAUCAGUUUAUGAAACAUUUCCCACCUUUCUGGGACAUGUCACAACUAACAACAGAGUUGAUGAUUGAGUAAAAAUUUGUUUCAAAUCAUGAAUAUCUUGACAUAUUUUGUUUCUACCCUGUGAAAAGAAAUAAUUUAAAUACCCAUAUGUAGAGGUUAGAGAUUGAAAUAUAAUAUUUGUAGCUGUAAAAUAGACAUGUUAAUGUCAGUUCAGUUAGAAAAUGAAAGUGAUUGAAGCGGACAUAUAAUGUCCCAGUUUAAAUGUGCCAUGGUACUUGUGUUAGGAAAGAAAUGUAGCUACUAAACUGUCCGUUUCUUUAUUCUAUCAGUCCUGUUGUGUUUGGAAAUAAUUUAUAUUCCCUACAGAGGGUUUGCUAUGUGUAUUUUUUUCUUUGUUAAUUUAUCCCGAUGUACAUUUAUAUGUGUGUUUAAAAUUGAAAGUUGAAAGUUGUGUGUGAGUUACUGUCGUGAAACACUUGGUCUACCUCUAACAAAGGGGUGUGUAGAGAUGGAUGUGCCACUCUUAGAGUUCCACACCAAUUUUAAUUCCAGGCUUUAUUUUUGGUCAGUAUGACAUGAGUUGACCUUAUACAACACCUACUGUCUAUCCCCGUUGUGUUGGACUCAGAUCUGCCUACUCCUCCAUUAAAUUACAAGACUUAACCAGGGGGAUAAAUUAUCCCCAGAAUCCCGCUUUAGAGAACUGUUUGUAUUCAACAUAGACUUGUUGACUUACCUGAUAAAUGUAUGUUUGACUUUCUAUGUUUCUUAUUGUAUGUAUAUGAUAACAUGUCUGAUGUUCAUUGUGUAAGAUAUGCUAGGUAUUAGCUUAUGUUAUUUUAUAUGCAUUUGAAUAAAUACUGGCAUCAAUGCU